GAUGAACGCUGGCGGCGUGCCUAAUACAUGCAAGUCGAGCGAACAGACGAGGAGCUUGCUCCUCUUACGUUAGCGGCGGACGGGUGAGUAACACGUGGAUAACCUACCUAUAAGACUUGGAUAACUUCGGGAAACCGGAGCUAAUACCGGAUAAUAUAUUGAACCGCAUGGUUCAAUAGUUAAAGACGGUUUUGCUGUCACUUAUAGAUGGAUCCGCGCCGCAUUAGCUAGUUGGUAAGGUAACGGCUUACCAAGGCAACGAUGCGUAGCCGACCUGAGAGGGUGAUCGGCCACACUGGAACUGAGACACGGUCCAGACUCCUACGGGAGGCAGCAGUAGGGAAUCUUCCGCAAUGGGCGAAAGCCUGACGGAGCAACGCCGCGUGAGUGAUGAAGGUCUUCGGAUCGUAAAACUCUGUUAUUAGGGAAGAACAAAUGUGUAAGUAACUAUGCACGUCUUGACGGUACCUAAUCAGAAAGCCACGGCUAACUACGUG
This 497-nucleotide ribosomal RNA is filed under the name uncultured bacterium. Its description in RNAcentral is "partial 16S ribosomal RNA". It matches the Rfam family "Bacterial small subunit ribosomal RNA", at positions 28 to 507 of the family's 1533-position model. The record is from RNAcentral.